AGGAUGGUCUCGAUCUCCUGACCUCGUGAUCCACCCAUCUCGGCCUCUCAAAGUGCUGGGAUUACAGGCUUGAGCCACCGUGCCCGGCCGUAUUUUUUGUUUGUUUGUGUUUUGUAGAGACGGGGUCUCACUGUGUUGCCCAGGCUAGUCUUGAACUCCUGGGCUUAAGUGAUGGUACCACUUUGGCCUCCCGAAGUGCUGGGAUUACAGGCAUGAGCCACCAUGCCUGGCCAACAGUGUUUAUUUUUGUAACUUUUUUUAAAUCAUAAAAAGACCUUAACAUGUGAACAGAAAGAAGGAGCCUUCUCUAAUUUUCCUAUUUCUGAAGAGACUAUAAAGCUUCUGAAAGCAUUUGGCCAUCCAGUGUCAUUGGUCUCAGAGGCCGGCAGUUAUUGGAGAUGUCCUUCAAGUCUACAGUGGGUCUGAAGGGAGGGCUAUUAUUUUCUGUGAGACCAAAAAGAAUGUAACUGAAAUGGCCAUGAAUCCACACGUAAAACAGGUAAGUCUUUUUUUCAUGCUUUCUCUAAUUGAAAUUAUGGGGAUGAAUUACUGAAUGAAAAUUAUAUUGUCCUUUGUGGACCAGAUUUCAUAGUCAUUCUCAAAAUUCAGUUGUAAGGCUGGGUGUGGUGGCUCACACCUGUAAUUAAGUCAGGAUAGAUUUUAUCAGUUUUGUUUGUUUGUCUUGAGACAGGGUCUCCCUGUUAUGCCCAGGCUGGAGUGCAGUGGGACAGUCAUAGCUCACUGCAUUCUUGACUUCCUGGGCUCAGGUGAUUCUCCCACCCCAGCCUCUUGAAUAGCUGGGACUACAGGCGCGUGCUACAAUGCCCAGCUAAUUUUUUGCGUAUUUUGUAGAGAUGAGAUUUCACCAUGUAGCCCAGGCUGGUCUUGAACUCCUGGGCUCAAGCAAUUCCCCCCGACCCCGCCUCUGCCUUGUGGCCUGCCAGAGUGCUGGGAUUACAGGUGUGAGCCAUCACACCUGACCUUGAUCAGAUUUUAUCAUUUUUUUUUUAAGACUGAAAAUGUGAUCUGGAAAAUAUAAAAGUUGAAACAAAAUGAAUUUCUAUGGGUAAGAGAGGGUAAUAUUUUAGAGUUGUGUUAUAAAACUGCAAAUUUUUAUUAAAUUAAUAAAUCAGAAUACUAAAUCCAUGUGUCUUUUUCUUUCUCAAAAAAUAUCUUUUGGCUGGGUGCGGUGGCUCACGGCUGUAAUCCAGCACUUUGGAAGGCCAAGGCAGGUGGAUCGCCUGAGGUCAGGAAUUCAAGACCAGCCUGGUCAGCAUGGUGAAACCCCAUCUUUACUAAAAAUAUAAAAAUUAGCCGGUGUGGUGGUGGGUGCCUGUAAUCCCAGCUGCUCAGGGGGCUGAGGCAGGAGAAUCGCUUGAACCCAGGGUUGGAGGUUGUGGUGAGCUGAGAUCAUGCCACUACACUCCAGCCUGGAUGACAGAGUGAGACUCUGUCUCAAAAAAAAAAAAAAAAAAAA
Molecule: long non-coding RNA, 1477 nt
Filed under: Macaca mulatta (Rhesus monkey)
Lineage: Eukaryota; Metazoa; Chordata; Mammalia; Primates; Cercopithecidae
Description: lncRNA (ENSMMUG00000063113.1)
Source: RNAcentral